Molecule: long non-coding RNA, 946 nt
Organism: Perognathus longimembris pacificus (Pacific pocket mouse)
Lineage: Eukaryota; Metazoa; Chordata; Mammalia; Rodentia; Heteromyidae
Exons: 3
Source: RefSeq, a predicted model, not a curated record
CAAAUGGACCAAGAAAAUGUGGGGCUUCAAAGUCUGGAAACUGCCUUUCACUGAAUUCCUGCCAGAAGGUUGUGCUUAGAUUCUGCCGAUGGAAAAGCCCCAAGUACAUUUCUCUGCAUUGGAGAAAUUGCUCAUCUGUGGAACGUGACAGCUUCCCAAUGACAAUUCGGCAGCCCUGUAUAGAAGUAGGAGACUGGGAGCAUAAAAAAAAUAAAAAAUAAAAAAGGAAGGGAAAUCUGUAAGAAGAUGUUCUAGAACCAUAAAGGUCCAGGGGUUGAAGGAAAGAGGACAGCAUGUUUUAUGAGCUGGGGAUGCUGCUGACGGCAAAACAUGACCUUCACUCAUUUCUGGAGCUCACUGGCCUUGCAAGUGACCACUGUGCACAGCCUGCCUUUAGUCCUUAGCAUGUAGUGACCAGAGAUCUGGUAGCUCUGCCUAAGCUGAUGUCACCAUCCCAGUCCGGACCCUCUCUGCAGUCUUCGUAGAGAAACAGAAGAUCAGAAUUUAAAGGUGGCUCCUGCGCAUGCCCUCUACUCAGCACAUACAUCUCAGCCCUCCAUGCGCUGCGGAUCCGCUUCCGCCUCUGCAAGGCCUCUUUACCAUAGGUUUCCAUUGGUGACCAUUAUCCUGAGGUUCUGCUUGUGCAUUGACACACCAUUUGGAGGUGUGUAGUGCAUGGUGCACACGUAGAAAGGAGAGGCAGACACACAAUCUAAUAGUGACAUGAGAUGAAUAAAUACUGUAAACCACGAACUAUUCUAUGUCAUUGUAUACUAGAGAGAAUACAGAUUCUUGUCAGAGCAUUGGUCUGAGUGUGGGAUCUUAGCUUCUUUCUCAUCUAGCUAGAGGCCCUUGAAUAAGUAAUUCAAUCUCUGGGAGACUGUGUUUUACCAAGAAAAAAAAUGGUAAUAAAUAAAUGCCUCCCUCUUAUGGUUAUGGAGAUUAU